Long non-coding RNA from Melitaea cinxia (Glanville fritillary), 274 nucleotides. RefSeq lists it as uncharacterized. NCBI's taxonomy places the organism in Eukaryota, Metazoa, Arthropoda, Insecta, Lepidoptera, Nymphalidae. The record is from RefSeq and is a predicted model, not a curated record. The transcript has 2 exons.
GAUGUCUGAGGAGUUUUUUGGUGCAGAUAGAUACAUAUAGAUUAUUUAGCUGUAAUUGGUCACGCGCUUAGAAUAUAGAAAUCAGGGGCGUCGACAGCCGCACGCGAUGCUACUGUUGCUGCUUCUCUUUCUCCCUGACGAUGAGAGCAAAAUAGUGGGAUUUCUGCGCUAAAAGACACUGAGAUCGUAAUUACGAAUGCUGAUAAUAUAUUAGUUUCAAUGAUCUUUGACGAUUUACGUAAGAAAUUAUUUAGUUGGAAAUAUAAACUAUUUA